CUAGGAUUUAUUUGAAGCAAAAGUAUCUUCUUUCUUCAAAUCCUUGCUUGGCACUUGUAUUUUUGCCAAUCUAGCAACAUCUUUGGAAAGAAGUUCUUAAUUUAUCUAGUUGUUUUGUGUCACCAUUCAGUAUUUUGUACUCUUUGCAGUGUGAUUGUUGAAGCUUUGAAAAUGGACAGUCUGCAGAAAAUUUGCUCAUCAUUGGAGCCCAUUCUUCGAAGAGUUGUCAGUGAAGAAGUUGAACGAGCCUUAGCAAAGCUAAGUCCUCCAAAAAUUGGUGGAAGGUAAGACAUAUUAUGACAUCAUACAUCAUGAAUCAGAUGGAUUCUUUGAGAAUGAACUUAUUUUGGAUUUUUUUUCCUCUGCAUGGAAUUAUAAGUGACUAAGAUGUUAUAACCAAAUAGUUAUGUUGCCAUGCUUUCUGAUACAAUCUUUCCGGUAAAAUAUCUGAAAGCAUGUCAAGUUUCUUGUGAACUUGUUACAGGCUGCACAACUAGUGUUUAAAUUUAAUGAAAUGAAGGAUGGUUGAGACAGAUAACAGCUGUAUAUUAUGAUUUUUAAAUUGUUGUCCUAGAGUCUGAUUGCUAGAAUUUUAAUUUAUGGUCAUUCUGCUUAACAGAUUGUAGUCUAUUUUUCAGAAGCUACUAUAGACAUAUAUAGGCAUGAUGUUAUUUUCCUACCGAGAAUUUUAUGUAUCUUAUAUUAAAAGGAAAACAAAAUUAUUAACAUUUGCUUGGUUUAGCAAAAAAAGCUGCAAAAAGUCAUGCAAACACACUAUGAUUAUGAUUUUCAUACAAUCUUUAUGAUUAUACAAGCGGCACUGUUUCUUCAUCCCUUUGUGACCAAGUAAGCUGUCUUUUUAAUCUUGGACUUUUAGAUUUUGUUUCGUGUGCCACUGUCAGUAUCGGAUUGCUUUGGGGAGACUAUAGUAAAUGAAGAGUGCAUUACAUCACAAACAGCAAUAUGAAGCAAAAGUCUGCAAGGUAAUAAGUUAAAAGAAAACAGGAACAAACUUUUCUGUUACAGCAGAAAUAAUGGAGUAUGACGAAAGAAGAGAAACAUGAGGAGAACAAAGAGUAAGUUAUGACUGGGUUACCAAAUUUGUUUGAUGAAAAUGCAUUCUGUAAGAAUGAUCUUUGCUGCACAUCUUUCUGUUUUUCUAUGACAUUGAUAACUCACCUUCUAUGAACUUUCAAUUUUUUGGUCUCGAAGUUCUAUAUUCUGAAUGGACCCUAUUUAUUAGCAAUAUCUGAUGUUUCUUCUUGACAAUCUGAUGCUGUAUGGUGCUUCAUUAGGUCAGUGAAGAAGUUGAACGAGCCUUAGCAAAGCUAAGUCCUCCAAAAAUUGGUGGAAGGUAAGACAUAUUAUGACAUCAUACAUCAUGAAUCAGAUGGAUUCUUUGAGAAUGAACUUAUUUUGGAUUUUUUUUCCUCUGCAUGGAAUUAUAAGUGACUUAGAUGUUAUAACCAAAUAGUUAUGUUGCCAUGCUUUCUGAUACAAUCUUUCCGGUAAAAUAUCUGAAAGCAUGUCAAGUUUCUUGUGAACUUGUUACAGGCUGCACAACAAGUGUUUAAAUUUAAUGAAAUGAAGGAUGGUUGAGACAGAUAACAGCUGUAUAUUAUGAUUUUUAAAUUGUUGUCCUAGAGUCUGAUUGCUAGAAUUUUAAUUUAUGGCCAUUCUGAUUGUAGUCUAUUUUUCAGAAGCUACUAUAGACAUAUAUAGGCAUGAGUCUCAUGCCUAUAUGGAGGUUAGGGAGGGGCAACAUAUUUAACCUAAUUAUUGCAAUAGAGGCAAUAACAUUAAGUUGUUGACAGGCCUCAAUGAGAUAAAUGGUGCAAAUGUAUCUAUUGGGUUUUGAAAGGUAGUGUUCAAUAGUCUUUAACAGAAUUGUCUGAAAACCUAUCCUGAUGUUAUUUUCCUACCGAGAAUUUUAUGUAUCUUAUAUUAAAAGGAAAACAAAAUUAUUAACAUUUGCUUGGUUUAGCAAAAAAAGCUGCAAAAAGUCAUGCAAACACACUAUGAUUAUGAUUUUCAUACAAUCUUUAUGAUUAUACAAGCGGCACUGUUUCUUCAUCCCUUUGUGACCAAGUAAGCUGUCUUUUUAAUCUUGGACUUUUAGAUUUUGUUUUGUGUGCCACUGUCAGUAUCAGAUUGCUUUGGGGAGACUAUAGUAAAUGAAGAGUACAUUACAUCACAAACAGCAAUAUGAAGCAAAAGUCUGCAAGGUAAUAAGUUAUAAGAAAACAGGAACAAACUUUUCUGUUACAGCAGAAAUAAUGGAGUAUGACGAAAGAAGUGAAACAUGAGGAGAACAAAGAGUAAGUUAUGACUGGGUUACCAAAUUUGUUUGAUGAAAAUGCAUUCUGUAAGAAUGAUCUUUGCUGCACAUCUUUCUGUUUUAAGUCUAACCACAUACUGUUCCUAUAAAAGAUAGGAGUCCUUAGGGAUAAAAGUAGGUAAUAAAGGUAGUUGACCAAAUCGGAUAAAGAUCAUAAUCAGAAAGUACCCAAUCAAUUACAAAAAUUUCAUAAGUGGAAUACAACUAAAUAAGCUCAUGUCUAAUGAUAUCUAGCUUUGUGAAGAUGUUCUAAAGUUGUGAUAAUAUUGCCUUGUAAAUUGAGAAUAGGCCAAUUAAUCUAAUUAACUCAAACAAGAAUUAAUAGAACUCUGCACAAACCUAACUUUAAGACUUGCUUUAUCAUAUUCAAGCCAUUCAAUUUCAGUCCAUCUUGUUAGUCUUUGCUUGUUAGUUGUGAUGUUUCCCAGUAAUUGAUGUGCACAUCUAAGAAAGAUUAUUUCCUUCAGUUUGUUGCUUAUUGUUUGAAGAAAUAUUAGCUUCAUUUUUAUCUUCCGAUAGUAAAGAACUGAUUCAUCAUCUAGCCUAUAAGAAGUUCACCAAUUCAUCUUCUAGCCUAUGAGAAGUUCAUUGUCGCAGCAUCAUUUCUCUGAGGGGUAGAUUUGGUAAUUUUCCAGAUUUAAUAGUUUUAAGGGUAUUCUUGGAAUCAUCAAAUUUCAGAAUUGGUCCUGCAACUCAGCUCUUCCACUUGGACAUAUGAGUUAUCCUAUGCCUAAUAUGCAUCUUUGACUAUUUAUGCUUGUUUCGAUUCCUGGAUUAGGUGCUUUAUGAAUAAAGACUAGUAUUAUUGCUUGUUGUUUUGCUUCAAUCUUCUUGUUCUCCAAUUCAUCUGCAAAACUAGAAGUUGUAGUCCUUGAGGGUGAUUUUAGCAAUGAAGACAAUGAUGAUUGGACAGAAGAAGAGUUUGACAGUCAUGUAGUGAAAGAACGCGAAGGAAAAAGGCCUCUUUUGAUUGGAGACUUAUACGUCUCAUGGAAAGAAGGUAUAGGAACCCUUGGAGAGCUCACAUUUCCAGACAAUUCUAGUUGGAUACGGAGUAGGAAAUUUAGGCUUGGACUGAAGAUUGCUUCAGGUUUUUGUGAUGGUAUUCGAGUCCGUGAAGCGAAAACAGAAGCUUUCACUGAAAGGACCACAGAGGGGAAUUGGACAAGAAACACUAUCCACCUGAAUUGAAAGAUGAAGUCUGGAGAUUGGAAAAGAUUGGUAAGGAUGGUUCAUUCCACAAGAGGUUGAAUAAAUAUGGACUCUUUACAGUUGAAGACUUUCUCAGACUUGUUGUUAGGGAUCCCUAGAAACUCCGCAAGGUUCUUGGAACUGCUAUGCUGAUGAACACUAUCGCAACUGCUAUGCUGAUGAACACUAUCUUCUUGACCUUAACCAGGUUUUGAUAGUCGCAACUGCUAUGCUGAUGAACACUAUCUUCCAACUCUAUUGAAU
Molecule: long non-coding RNA, 3793 nt
Organism: Musa acuminata AAA Group (dessert banana)
Lineage: Eukaryota; Viridiplantae; Streptophyta; Magnoliopsida; Zingiberales; Musaceae
Exons: 4
Source: RefSeq, a predicted model, not a curated record